UUCCACAAAUCAUAUGGUGGCAGCUUACAAGCUUCUCUGCGCACACGUCAUUGCUUUGCAUGUCACUUAUCUUCCACCUCUCACACAUACAGCCAUAUAUAACUACAUCAUCAUCCUCCUUUCAUUUCCACCUCAACAAUUCAUCACUCAUGGAGAGAAAAACUUUCAGCUUCUUGCUCUUGCUCCUUCUUGUCUUAGCCUCUGAUGUGGCCGUAGAGAGAGGAGAAGCUAAAACUUGUAUGACAAAGAAAGAAGGGUGGGGAAGAUGCUUAAUUGAUACCACCUGUGCACAUUCGUGCAGGAAGCAA
Molecule: long non-coding RNA, 308 nt
Organism: Vigna angularis (adzuki bean)
Lineage: Eukaryota; Viridiplantae; Streptophyta; Magnoliopsida; Fabales; Fabaceae
Exons: 2
Source: RefSeq, a predicted model, not a curated record